Molecule: long non-coding RNA, 1329 nt
Filed under: Capsicum annuum
Lineage: Eukaryota; Viridiplantae; Streptophyta; Magnoliopsida; Solanales; Solanaceae
Description: long non-coding RNA (CANN_LNC015789)
Source: RNAcentral
GCCUAUCUUCACCUAUCACACAAACAUUGGGGUCCAUCUUCACCUAUCACACAAGCAUUGGAGGCCAGGGGAAGGUGGGGAGAGUAAGGAGCCAAACAUUUAAUAUCUGGUAACUGUAAAUCUAUAACUAUUUCAUACUAAUCAUAUGCUAAGAAAAUUGUAUUUCAAGAUAACACAAAGCUAAUGAUAGCCGGGGGUCUAUAGGAAACAACCUCUCUACCUCACCUCUGAGGUAGUGGUAUGGACUGCGUACACUUACCGUCCCCAGACCCCACUUUGUGGGAAUAUAUUGGGUAUGUUGUUGUUACAAUGCUAAUGAUUCUUUUAGACCCAUCUUACUCAUUCUUCAAGCAUAGCAUUAGCUUACCAUUAACUCUACACAACAGCUUUUUUGAUCAAUAAACAAAAAAUUUCACUAAUCACCCAAUAUCUUGAAUUUCAUUAAAUUCAGCAGUCAAGAGAUAAGCAACUUUCAAGAACUAAAUGAUUCUGCUAGUCCCAAGAGUAAGUCCUGUAUACGCUUCAAACUGAACUAGUUGGGGGCUAUAAAAAUCUAAAUACGUAGGAAAAAAGAAUACAAAGUAAUAGUUGGCUGCGUUAUCAACUUUAGUUAUCCUGGCAUGUUUCACUUUUAAACAACAUACAACAGGAAAAGCAUACAUAUAUAAGCGCACGUCACACCAAAGCUGAGGAAAGGAUGUUCCACUGUGCAAGUACAUCUACAGCCUUCCCUUGUAUUAAGCAUCAACCAUAUCCAUUAAUAAUCCCCACUCUAAGCAUAUGAGUAUACUAGUUCAACUUAGGAAUAAGAACUUGCUAGAUAAAUACCGAUCAAAACAAAAUUGCUAGAUAAAUAUUUAAGCAUGCACCCAAGGGUGUGGCCUAGUGGUUCAACGAAGUUGGGUUAAGCACUAUGAGGUCUCACGUACAAUUCCCGAUCACAACAGAAACAAACACUAGGUGAUUUCUUCUCAUCUGUUCUAGCCUUGGUGGACAAAGUUAUCUGAUACUUGCGCUGGUGGGAGGUGGCAGGUAUCCCAUGGAGUUAGUCGAGGUGCACGCAAACUGGCCCGGACACCACAAUUAUCAAAAAAAAUAAAAUCUAAGCAUUAAACAAGUGAUACAAACUCGCAUAUUUGACAAAUCAAGUUUAACCCUGGAAAACACACUAUAUCACAGAGUGCAAACUAUUGGAACAGGAUGUUAAUUAGGAAGAUCAACAUAGAAAAGGUUUUGUGAUACACCAGAAAUACAUUCAGAAGUACUCCUUAAACACCAGAAAUACAUUCAGAAGUACUCCUUAACAAUCUCACAGAAUUAUAUCACAAC